UAGGGAAUCUUCGGCAAUGGGGGGAACCCUGACCGAGCAACGCCGCGUGAGUGAAGAAGGUUUUCGGAUCGUAAAGCUCUGUUGUUAAGGAAGAACGAGUGUGAGAAUGGAAAGUUCAUACUGUGACGGUACUUAACCAGAAAGGGACGGCUAACUACGUGCCAGCAGCCGCGGUAAUACGUAGGUCCCGAGCGUUGUCCGGAUUUAUUGGGCGUAAAGCGAGCGCAGGCGGUUAGAUAAGUCUGAAGUUAAAGGCAGUGGCUCAACCAUUGUAGGCUUUGGAAACUGUUUAACUGGAGUGCAGAAGGGGAGAGUGGAAUUCCAUGUGUAGCGGUGAAAUGCGUAGAUAUAUGGAGGAACACCGGUGGCGAAAGCGACUCUCUGGUCUGUAACUGACGCUGAGGCUCGAAAGCGUGGGUAGCAAACAGG
This 429-nucleotide ribosomal RNA is filed under the name Bacteroidota bacterium. RNAcentral's name for it is "Bacteroidetes bacterium partial 16S ribosomal RNA". It matches the Rfam family "Bacterial small subunit ribosomal RNA", at positions 355 to 776 of the family's 1533-position model. The record is from RNAcentral. Lineage: Bacteria; Pseudomonadati; Bacteroidota.